This 482-nucleotide ribosomal RNA is filed under the name uncultured bacterium. Its description in RNAcentral is "partial 16S ribosomal RNA". It matches the Rfam family "Bacterial small subunit ribosomal RNA", at positions 28 to 507 of the family's 1533-position model. The record is from RNAcentral.
GACGAACGCUGGCGGCGUGCUUAACACAUGCAAGUCGAACGAUGAAGAAGAGAAACGCGAACUUCGGUUCAAAUUUCACUUCGGAUUAGUGGCAGACGGGUGAGUAACGCGUGAGCAACCUACCUCUUACAAAGGGAUAGCCUCGGGAAACCGUGAUUAAUACCAUAUGACACCUUCAUAAGGCAUCUUAAGACUGUUAAAGCUACGGCGGUAAGGGAUGGGCUCGCGUCCCAUUAGCUAGUUGGUGAGGUAACGGCCCACCAAGGCGACGAGGGGUAACCGGCCUGAGAGAGUGAACGGUCACAUUGGAACUGAGACGCAGUCCAGACUCCUACGGGAGGCAGCAGUGGGGAAUAUUGCACAAUGGAGGGAACUCUGAUGCAGCGACGCCGCGUGAGCGAUGAAGGAAUUAGUUUCGUAAAGCUCUGUUCUAUGGGAAGAAAAGGACUGUACCAUAGGAGAAAGCCCCGGCUAAAUACGUG